Molecule: ribosomal RNA, 253 nt
Filed under: uncultured prokaryote
Description: partial 16S ribosomal RNA
Rfam family: Bacterial small subunit ribosomal RNA
Source: RNAcentral
ACAGAGGUCCCAAGCGUUACUGAGAAUCACUGGGUUUAAAGGGUGCGUAGGUGGCACGUUAAGUCAGUUGUGAAAUCCCCGGGCUCAACCCGGGAACUGCUUCUGAUACUGGCGUGCUUGAGGCCAGUAGGGGUCACUAGAACUGACGGUGGAGCGGUGAAAUGCGUAGAUAUUGGGAGGAACACCGGUGGCGAAGGCGGCCCCCUGGACCGGAACUGACGCUGAGGCGCGAAAGCGUGGGUAGCAAACGGGA